UUUUUUUUUGUAAACUUAAUUCAUAUGAAAUAUUACUCAGUUUUCAAUGAACCACGUCUCCAGUGCAAGUACUCGGAUUGUGUAGAAUACAUUCCAGUAAUGUUAUUGGACAUUUUUUUUUUCGUAAACUUAAUUCAUAUGAAAUAUUACUCAAUUUUCCUUGAAAACAUUUAAAUUUAAAAUAUUUAACUUUUCAAUGUAUAAACAGAAGCAAGAGGUUGCUACCCUUGUUUUAAUAGUAAGGGAGCUUUUCCCUUUCACUCAAGUUUUCUCUCAUUUUCAAUGAGGUUCUCUGAGGCAGGAUGCCUCGUUUUGUGCCAGUUGUGCGCCUGUCCUUACCCUAUCCAGGUCGGGAUGGCUUUUCCCUCUCCCUCGCCUUCUCCGCUAGGUGAGAUUUGUACAUAGUUUUGGUGGUUUCGGUUUUGCGUUCAGUGGUUUAUUGGAAGGGAGUGGUUUUUGGCCUGUCAUAUGUUGGUGCAAGUGGUUGUUUUCUCUUGUUUUUGUAGGUUUUGUAGCUCUAGAUCUACAAGCAAAAGGAGUCUGAUGGAGAUAUGAAGGCGGGAGGUGUUCUCUGUUUCUUGUUUGAAGCGGUACCCUCUCCCUUCUUUGUCUGUUUUGUAGAUCUUGUAGAGAUGGUUGACCUGACUUGAUUGAGGAAGAAUGACUUCUCUUUUUGUAGAGUUAGAUGCCUUUCUUCGUCUGACUCGGUGCAUGUGCUUCUCUAUUCUUUGCGUCUUUUGGUUUUCUCUAUUCUUUGCGUCUUUUGGUUUUCUCUGUUCUUUGCGUUGCGUCUUUUGGUUUUGGUUGACUUGCAUUUCUUUGGCACUAGUGGUUCUGAACUCCUUGGGCUUCAUCUGGAUGUUUAACUCUUCGAUUUUCAUGGNNN
This 886-nucleotide long non-coding RNA is filed under the name Manihot esculenta (cassava). RNAcentral's name for it is "long non-coding RNA (MESC_LNC001837)". The record is from RNAcentral. Lineage: Eukaryota; Viridiplantae; Streptophyta; Magnoliopsida; Malpighiales; Euphorbiaceae.